This is a long non-coding RNA of Homo sapiens (human), 511 nucleotides long. The record is from Ensembl. NCBI's taxonomy places the organism in Eukaryota, Metazoa, Chordata, Mammalia, Primates, Hominidae.
AGCUUAAGAAGGUACUGUUUGAAAGAGAAGGAGAUUCCACGACAAAAGCCUCAUCUCUCACCUGGACAAGUGUGCAGCCUCCUACCUAGCUUCUGCACCUAAUCUCUGCCCCUACCCCUAACACACACACAGUUCACCUUGCGAAGGACAGUCCAUGAUAAGGACUCUGGAAUGCCCAAGAGGAAAGGGUGAAGAGACUUGUAGACCCCCGAUAUGGUUUGGCUGUGUCCCCACCCAAAUCUCAUCUUGAAUUGUAGCUCCCACAAUUCCCAUGUGUCAUCGGAGGGACCAGGAGGGAGGUAAUUGAAUCAUGGGGGCGGCUCUUUCCUGUGCUGUUCUCAUGAUAGUGAAUAAGCCUCAUGAGAUCUGCUGGUUUUAUAAGGGGGAGUUUCCCUACACCAGUUCUCUCUUGUCUGCUGCCAUGUAAAACACACCUUUUGCCUUCUGCCAUGAUUGUGAGGCCUCCCCAGCCACGUGGAACUGUGAGUCUAUUAAACCUCUUUUUCCUUAU